GACGAACGCUGGUGGCGUGCUUAACACAUGCAAGUCGAACGGGAUUUAGUAAACAGAAGCCUCGGUGGAAGAUUACUAAUGAGAGUGGCGAACGGGUGAGUAACGCGUGAGCAACCUGCCUAUGACAGUGGGAUAGCCUCGGGAAACCGGGAUUAAUACCGCAUAAAAUCGUAGAAACACAUGUUUUAACGUUCAAAGAUUUAUCGGUCAUAGAUGGGCUCGCGUCUGAUUAGCUAGUUGGUGAGAUAACAGCCCACCAAGGCGACGAUCAGUAGCCGGUCUGAGAGGAUGAACGGCCACAUUGGAACUGAGACACGGUCCAAACUCCUACGGGAAGCAGCAGUGGGGAAUAUUGCACAAUGGGGGAAACCCUGAUGCAGCGACGCCGCGUGAACGAAGAAGGUAUUCGUAUCGUAAAGUUCUGUCCUAUGGGAAGAUAAUGACAGUACCAUAGAAGAAAGCUCCGGCUAAAUACGUG
Molecule: ribosomal RNA, 478 nt
Filed under: uncultured bacterium
Lineage: Bacteria
Description: partial 16S ribosomal RNA
Rfam family: Bacterial small subunit ribosomal RNA
Source: RNAcentral